This 253-nucleotide ribosomal RNA is filed under the name uncultured bacterium. RNAcentral's name for it is "partial 16S ribosomal RNA". It matches the Rfam family "Bacterial small subunit ribosomal RNA", at positions 524 to 776 of the family's 1533-position model. The record is from RNAcentral.
UACGAAGGGGGCUAGCGUUGUUCGGAAUUACUGGGCGUAAAGGGCGUGUAGGCGGUCUAAUCAGUCAGAGGUGAAAGCCCUGGGCUCAACCUAGGAAUUGCCUUUGAUACUGUUAGACUAGAGUUCGGGAGAGGAUAGUGGAAUUCCCAGUGUAGAGGUGAAAUUCGUAGAUAUUGGGAAGAACACCAGUGGCGAAGGCGGCUAUCUGGACCGAUACUGACGCUGAGGCGCGAAAGCGUGGGGAGCAAACAGG